UGAUUGAAGUAAUAAUCAGUAAAACCUGCUCAAUGAUUUUAAAUAGCCGCAGACAUCUGUGCUAAGGUAGCAUAAUCACUUGCCUUUUAAUUAAAGGCUAGAAUGAAUGGUUUAACAUGUAAAUUAUUUUAUUAAAUAGAUUCCUUUAACUUUACUUUUAAGUAAAAAGGCUUAUAUUACUAGAAGGACGACAAGACCCUGUCAAACUUUACAUUUUUGUUUUGCUGGGGCAGCAAAAAAACAAAAUUUUUAUUUAAAAUUAUUUUAUUUCUAACUUUUUAAAUAACAAGUUACUGCAGGGAUAACAGCACAAUCUUCUUUUAAAGUUCUUAUUUUAAAGAAAGUUUGUGACCUCGAUGUUGAAUUAAAAAAUCUAUUUAAGGGCAAAUUCUUAAUAAGAAAGUCUGUUCGACUUUUAAAUUUUU
Molecule: ribosomal RNA, 425 nt
Filed under: Stanwellia sp. MYG417
Lineage: Eukaryota; Metazoa; Arthropoda; Arachnida; Araneae; Nemesiidae
Description: partial 16S ribosomal RNA
Rfam family: Bacterial large subunit ribosomal RNA
Source: RNAcentral